Molecule: ribosomal RNA, 439 nt
Filed under: uncultured bacterium
Lineage: Bacteria
Description: partial 16S ribosomal RNA
Rfam family: Bacterial small subunit ribosomal RNA
Source: RNAcentral
CUACGGGGGGCACCAGUGGGGAAUAUUGCACAAUGGAGGAAACUCUGAUGCAGCAACGCCGCGUGGAGGAUGACACUUUUCGGAGCGUAAACUCCUUUUAUAUAGGAAGAAGAUGACAGUACUAUAUGAAUAAGCGCCGGCUAACUCCGUGCCAGCAGCCGCGGUAAUACGGAGGGCGCAAGCGUUACUCGGAAUCACUGGGCGUAAAGAGCGUGUAGGCGGAUUAAAAAGUCAGAAGUGAAAUCCUAUAGCUUAACUAUAGAACUGCUUCUGAAACUCUUAAUCUAGAAUAUGGGAGAGGUAGAUGGAAUUUCUGGUGUAGGGGUAAAAUCCGUAGAGAUCAGAAGGAAUACCGAUUGCGAAGGCGAUCUACUAGAACAUUAUUGACGCUGAGACGCGAAAGCGUGGGGAGCAAACAGAAUUAGAUACCCUCGUAGUC